This 208-nucleotide long non-coding RNA is filed under the name Homo sapiens (human). RNAcentral's name for it is "non-protein coding lnc-ACOD1-2:4". Lineage: Eukaryota; Metazoa; Chordata; Mammalia; Primates; Hominidae. The record is from RNAcentral.
UAAAAUCUAGAUCUCUAAUAUUUUUAAGCCCCUUGGACACUGCAGCUCUUUUCAGUUUUUGCUCAGUACCCCUGUAUUUUUAGUGACUGAAAUCAUGAAAAUUCUGGUCAGGUCCUGUCUUGUCUUGCUUGCACAUGUUAACCACUCCCUCUUUGACCAAUAUCCCUUUUUCCCCACAAUACAAUAUAAAAUGGGGAUAAUGGAUUUU